UACGUAGGGUGCGAGCGUUGUCCGGAAUUAUUGGGCGUAAAGAGCUCGUAGGCGGCCUGUUGCGUCCGCUGUGAAAGCCCGGGGCUUAACCCCGGGUCGGCAGUGGAUACGGGCAGGCUAGAGGUAGGUAGGGGAGAAUGGAAUUCCCGGUGUAGCGGUGAAAUGCGCAGAUAUCGGGAGGAACACCGGUGGCGAAGGCGGUUCUCUGGGCCUUACCUGACGCUGAGGAGCGAAAGCGUGGGGAGCGAACGGG
RNAcentral lists this ribosomal RNA (253 nucleotides) under uncultured bacterium. RNAcentral describes it as "partial 16S ribosomal RNA". It matches the Rfam family "Bacterial small subunit ribosomal RNA", at positions 524 to 776 of the family's 1533-position model. The record is from RNAcentral.